This 506-nucleotide ribosomal RNA is filed under the name Alternaria sp. N45. Its description in RNAcentral is "SSU rRNA". It matches the Rfam family "Eukaryotic small subunit ribosomal RNA", at positions 57 to 575 of the family's 1831-position model. The record is from RNAcentral. Lineage: Eukaryota; Fungi; Ascomycota; Dothideomycetes; Pleosporales; Pleosporaceae.
GUCUAGUAUAAGCAUUAUACCGUGAAACUGCGAAUGGCUCAUUAAAUCAGUUAUCGUUUAUUUGAUAAUACCUUACUACUUGGAUAACCGUGGUAAUUCUAGAGCUAAUACAUGCUGAAAAUCCCGACUUCGGAAGGGAUGUGUUUAUUAGAUAAAAAACCAAUGCCCUUCGGGGCUUUUUGGUGAUUCAUGAUAACUUUACGGAUCGCAUAGCCUUGCGCUGGCGACGGUUCAUUCAAAUUUCUGCCCUAUCAACUUUCGAUGGUAAGGUAUUGGCUUACCAUGGUUUCAACGGGUAACGGGGAAUUAGGGUUCGAUUCCGGAGAGGGAGCCUGAGAAACGGCUACCACAUCCAAGGAAGGCAGCAGGCGCGCAAAUUACCCAAUCCCGACACGGGGAGGUAGUGACAAUAAAUACUGAUACAGGGCUCUUUUGGGUCUUGUAAUUGGAAUGAGUACAAUUUAAACCUCUUAACGAGGAACAAUUGGAGGGCAAGUCUGGCAGAC